CGGCGGACGGGUGAGUAACACGUGGGCAACCUGCCUGUAAGACUGGGAUAACUCCGGGAAACCGGGGCUAAUACCGGAUAAUUCUUUCCCUCACAUGAGGGAAAGCUGAAAGAUGGUUUCGGCUAUCACUUACAGAUGGGCCCGCGGCGCAUUAGCUAGUUGGUGAGGUAACGGCUCACCAAGGCAACGAUGCGUAGCCGACCUGAGAGGGUGAUCGGCCACACUGGGACUGAGACACGGCCCAGACUCCUACGGGAGGCAGCAGUAGGGAAUCUUCCGCAAUGGACGAAAGUCUGACGGAGCAACGCCGCGUGAGUGAUGAAGGUUUUCGGAUCGUAAAACUCUGUUGUUAGGGAAGAACAAGUACCGGAGUAACUGCCGGUACCUUGACGGUACCUAACCAGAAAGCCACGGCUAACUACGUGCCAGCAGCCGCGGUAAUACGUAGGUGGCAAGCGUUGUCCGGAAUUAUUGGGGCGUAAAGCGCGCGCAGGCGGUUCCUUAAGUCUGAUGUGAAAGCCCCCGGCUCAACCGGGGAGGGUCAUUGGAAACUGGGGAACUUGAGUGCAGAAGAGAAGAGUGGAAUUCCACGUGUAGCGGUGAAAUGCGUAGAGAUGUGGAGGAACACCAGUGGCGAAGGCGACUCUUUGGUCUGUAACUGACGCUGAGGCGCGAAAGCGUGGGGGAGCAAACAGGAUUAGAUACCCUGGUAGUCCAC
Molecule: ribosomal RNA, 718 nt
Filed under: Cytobacillus oceanisediminis
Lineage: Bacteria; Bacillati; Bacillota; Bacilli; Caryophanales; Bacillaceae
Description: bacterial SSU rRNA
Rfam family: Bacterial small subunit ribosomal RNA
Source: RNAcentral